CAGCCGCCACGGUAAUACGUAGGGCGCAAGCGUUAUCCGGAAUUAUUGGGCGUAAAGAGCUCGUAGGCGGUUUGUCGCGUCUGCCGUGAAAGUCCGGGGCUCAACCCCGGAUCUGCGGUGGGUACGGGCAGACUAGAGUGAUGUAGGGGAGACUGAAAUUCCUGGUGUAGCGGUGAAAUGCGCAGAUAUCAGGAGGAACACCGAUGGCGAAGGCAGGUCUCUGGGCAUUAACUGACGCUGAGGAGCGAAAGCAUGGGGAGCGAACAGGAUUAGAUACCCGAGUAGUCCCUGUCUCUUAUAC
RNAcentral lists this ribosomal RNA (301 nucleotides) under uncultured bacterium. Its description in RNAcentral is "partial 16S ribosomal RNA". It matches the Rfam family "Bacterial small subunit ribosomal RNA", at positions 509 to 807 of the family's 1533-position model. The record is from RNAcentral.